UACAGAGGUCUCAAGCGUUGUUCGGAUUCAUUGGGCGUAAAGGGUGCGUAGGCGGCGCGGUAAGUCGGGUGUGAAAUCUUGGAGCUUAACUCCGAAACUGCAUUCGAUACUGCCGUGCUUGAGGACUGGAGAGGAGACUGGAAUUUACGGUGUAGCGGUGAAAUGCGUAGAUAUCGUAAGGAAGACCAGUGGCGAAGGCGGGUCUCUGGGGCAUAACUGACGCUGAGGAGCGAAAGCAUGGGGAGCGAACAGG
This 253-nucleotide ribosomal RNA is filed under the name uncultured bacterium. RNAcentral's name for it is "partial 16S ribosomal RNA". It matches the Rfam family "Bacterial small subunit ribosomal RNA", at positions 524 to 776 of the family's 1533-position model. The record is from RNAcentral.